AUUGAACGCUGGCGGAAUGCUUUACACAUGCAAGUCGAGCGGCAGCGCGGCCUUCGGGCUGGCGGCGAGCGGCGAACGGGUGAGUAAUGCAUCGGAACAUGCCCAGUCGUGGGGGAUAACACUUCGAAAGAAGUGCUAAUACCGCAUACGUCCUGAGGGGGAAAGCGGGGGAUCGCAAGACCUCGCGCGAUUGGAGUGGCCGAUGUCAGAUUAGCUAGUUGGUGGGGUAAAGGCCUACCAAGGCGACGAUCUGUAGCUGGUCUGAGAGGAUGAUCAGCCACACUGGGACUGAGACCCGGCCCAGACUCCUACGGGAGGCAGCAGUGGGGAAUUUUGGACAAUGGGGGCAACCCUGAUCCAGCCAUUCCGCGUGAGUGAAGAAGGCCUUCGGGUUGUAAAGCUCUUUCGGCAGGAACGAAACGGUGGGCUCUAACAUAGUCCGCUAAUGACGGUACCUGAAGAAGAAGCACCGGCUAACUACGUG
Molecule: ribosomal RNA, 484 nt
Filed under: uncultured bacterium
Lineage: Bacteria
Description: partial 16S ribosomal RNA
Rfam family: Bacterial small subunit ribosomal RNA
Source: RNAcentral